Molecule: non-coding RNA, 487 nt
Filed under: Pseudoselenomonas ruminantium
Lineage: Bacteria; Bacillati; Bacillota; Negativicutes; Selenomonadales; Selenomonadaceae
Description: Selenomonas ruminantium Bacterial small subunit ribosomal RNA
Rfam family: Bacterial small subunit ribosomal RNA
Source: Rfam by way of RNAcentral
UUUAUGGAGAGUUUGAUCCUGGCUCAGGACGAACGCUGGCGGCGUGCUUAACACAUGCAAGUCGAACGAGACGAGUUUUCAACACUGAAUGCUUAAUGAAGUAACUUGAAGCGUCAUUGCGACGAAGUCGCAAUUUCACUUUUAUAAAGUGCUUAACUAAGAAUUGAGCAUUGAGUGUUGAAAAUGAGUCGAGUGGCAAACGGGUGAGUAACGCGUAGACAACCUGCCGCAAAGAUGGGGACAACAGUCCGAAAGGACUGCUAAUACCGAAUGUUGUCAAGCUCCCGCAUGAGAGACUGAUUAAAGAUGGCCUCUACUUGUAAGCUAUCGCUUUGCGAUGGGUCUGCGUCUGAUUAGCUAGUUGGUGGGGUAACGGCCUACCAAGGCGACGAUCAGUAGCCGGUCUGAGAGGAUGAACGGCCACAUUGGAACUGAGACACGGUCCAGACUCCUACGGGAGGCAGCAGUGGGGAAUCUUCCGCAAUGG